This 65-nucleotide non-coding RNA is filed under the name Eutreptiella gymnastica. The record is from RNAcentral. Lineage: Eukaryota; Euglenozoa; Euglenophyceae; Eutreptiales; Eutreptiaceae.
CAUAAAUUUUGCAGGUUGUCGCUUCACCCCCCCCCCCCCCCCCCCACGCCCCACGGUACGUUGUU